CAGAUUGUUAUCGCUAGCAAGGACUCACUGAUCUCUGAUGUGGCUCUUGAUGGUGAUGCGAUGCAAAAUGGACAAAUCCAUCAUCGUUAGUCUACUACUGUUGGCUUCUUCUGAGCUACUAAUAUCAGAUCAGCGCUGAUUUGGGGAGUAAAGCUCUUCGAGCAAGUGACAAAAAUCAAGUCUUCUGAGCAUCUCAAAGAUGGUGACCUGAAGUCGUUUGACUGGCAGCUUAAAAGCAAUUAAAGUGCACAGAGAAAUCAAACUUUUAAAGCCACUCUUGCCAUUUGUGGACUGUUCCUGCUUGUUGGUGACUGCUUUUGCGAGUAUGUUCACUCUCAUCUACUCCCUUCGUUCCAAAAUAGAUGACUCUACUUUGUAUUAACUUUAGUACAAAGUUACAAAGUUGAGUCAUCUAUUUUGGAACGGAGGGAGUAGCAAUGAAAUAUUUUGUCUCUGUUGCGCAGCCGCUGAAAGGGCAAACUCCAGAUCCUAGAUAUCUGUGGGUUUUGGGUGCCCUCUGGGGUUACCUGAAUGUUCCUAUUUCUGUUUCUUCUUCCCUUCUUAGUUUUCUUUAUGAUGUAGAUGAACAAUUGGUUUGUGUUAAUAGAAUUCAGAGAGGAGGCUCUCUUUUAGAAAA
Long non-coding RNA from Triticum aestivum (bread wheat), 637 nucleotides. RefSeq lists it as uncharacterized. The transcript is spliced from 2 exons. NCBI's taxonomy places the organism in Eukaryota, Viridiplantae, Streptophyta, Magnoliopsida, Poales, Poaceae. The record is from RefSeq and is a predicted model, not a curated record.